CUUGGUCAGUAAUAUUGGACCCAGUGUAGAGUUCUUUAUCUUACCGAGACACUAAGAAUUGCUUUCAGGGGUUCGUGGACUAAACUCCUGCUGUCCAGUCUGGGGGCAUCAUCUCUGAGGCUGCAUGUUAAUAUGCAGACCAUAACCACCAGUCAGAGACAGACUGCAGAGGAUCAAUAAGUCUCGGCAUGCCAGCCCUGCAGGCUUUCAGGAAGUCGGCAGCCCCCACCUUCGGUGAGACCCUGUAGACCUUCUUGAUUUCCUAUUCUGGUUGUCAGUGUUUUAUGCUUGCUCCGAGGUUUGCUUCUCAUUCUGCAUUCUCCAUGUUCCUUUUCCAAAUGGGAGCACAAGCAGGAAGCAUCAUCAGCUUCGUUGCUGUGACUCUGCUGUGACUCUUCUCUCCAAGGACAGUGUGAGACAAACCUCAGCCCAGGAUGAUCCUGGAUGCAUCCACCAAGAGAUUUGCAAACUCAGGAUUAAGCUUAAAAACACUCACAAAAGGUUGGAAAAUGUAUAAUCUUAGAAUAUCUGGAGGUUCCGAAUGUAUCCUGAGCUGAAAGCACAACUUCAGGCUCAAGAAUGACAAUUUCAGAAAUGCACACAACUGGACAGUGAGCAUGCUCCGAAGUGCACACAACUGGACAGUGGGCAUGCUCAGAAGUGCACACAACUGGACAGUGAGCAAGCACAGCUCACCUUUAUUCCAUUUUUUUUCUGAGUCUAUGUGAAGGAUCCCUAAAUCAGGGCUCUGUGUUGUUUCUCUACCUCGUGUACCAUGUCUCUGACUCUGAUGAUUUUGUGUCAGCUAUCGUCACAUUUCUUUUAUGUGUCUUGCAUUUAUUGACCCACUUCAGUUUUAAAUGAAAGCUUCUUGAUCAUUUUGACAAAGUGUUUGUCCUUUGUUCUUCCACUUCUCCAGCGUGCUUGCUUAUGAGUGGCUUCUACAUAAGCGUCUGGGUCUUCAUGAUAUGCCAAUUGGUCAUGAGUUUGUUAGGGAAAUCUUAGCAAGACUGGGUAUUUUUGUACAAUUUAUAAUUCAGACGAUGCUACAGACAAUCAGAAAAAGUAGGGUGGCAAUGUGCUGAGGGC
RNAcentral lists this long non-coding RNA (1089 nucleotides) under Mus musculus (house mouse). RNAcentral's name for it is "predicted gene, 47507". Lineage: Eukaryota; Metazoa; Chordata; Mammalia; Rodentia; Muridae. The record is from RNAcentral.